This 102-nucleotide non-coding RNA is filed under the name Chlamydomonas leiostraca. The record is from RNAcentral. Lineage: Eukaryota; Viridiplantae; Chlorophyta; Chlorophyceae; Chlamydomonadales; Chlamydomonadaceae.
UAGUUCAGUCUAGUGGCUUGAGUGAAGAUCAACUGGAUCAGGCAGCGGAGCUGUGGUCCGCGCGUGAGGCUGGCUCCGCAGCGCAACUCGACCCUGCAUCUC